UUUUUUCCAGUUGGUCUGAAGUCUCUAUUUCAACGAACCUUAGUCGUCCUUUCUUCAUAUCACUACCCUAUGGAGUAUCACUGAAAAAUUUCCUUAAGAAAACUGGGAAAAAGUCGAUCAUAUUUUAUUUCAAACAACCAUCACAGAACAAGACAUCUGCCAAGGCUGUGUUGGAUCUUGCUGAGUUGUAUCUGAUUGAGAAACUGUACAGGUCAUCAGCCUGUUCAUCUUUCUGUGCCAAAACACUCAAGGUUCCUCUUUUCAAAGGAAAUAAUGAAAACCCAUUUGGGGUUGUGGAAAUUUGUAUUGAAUACCGUAAUUGGAUCAGAAAAUUUGACAAUUUCAAGAGUGAGUCCUUACCCUCUGAUCAAAUAGUUCACAAAAGUUUGAGUGCAAGAUCCAGAAAUAAUUUGAAACAAAAUUUGCGCCAAAAAAAUGCAACUUCAUCAAGAAUCUCUGUUGAUGAUGGUGCUCAACAUCUUGAGCAAGAGCAAUCAAAUAAAGAUUCUACUGAUUCCAGACUGCUAAACGUAACUUUCUGUGUGAAUGAAAAUAAAAAUGUCUUGCAGGAGUCUCAUCAACAUACAUUCAGUGAUGAGUCGAAACUAGGAUCAUCGGAUAGUAUUCAGAUAACAGAGGAUGGUGGAGACACUCCAUUAACUAUUCAUUACGAAAGAGGAAAUCCCUCAACUGUCUCGAAAUCUGAUAGAUUUAGCCACCCUAUAUUUACUUUACCUGAUUGUAGAACAAAAACGCAAGAGAUGAGUGGCUUAAAUGAAAAAUCUGAGAUAGAUGCAGCACAGUAUUUAAGCCAGCUAAAAAUAAAUGAUGCCAGUCCGUAUUCUGGUGAAAGGCACAGACUAAAAAGAGUGAUGAAGCAAAUUUAAGCGCCCUCUCAAUUUUGAAAACGUCUCAUUUGAUUUCACCAAGUGCUGUCUCCUCACAUUUCCAAACCUCUGCAUCAAGUGGUAUGUUUGCUGCUCCCUAUUCUCAUUUGGUUUUGGGUGGCGAAUCAAUCAACAAUGCUUAUAAAAAUGGUAACGAAAACAUAGUUGCAGAUCAAACUCAACCAUUACUCGCUGGUUGCUUACCUACUACAAGUCCCAAUCAGAUCAAUGGAAGCAAAAGGAUGGCAGAAGAAUCAUUCAUUGGGCCUAACAGCACUCCAACCUUCAGUGAUGAACAGAUUUUCAAUUUUGAUACCGACAAAACUAAUACGGCUAAAUCACAUCCGCAUGAAUCGAGCAGAGAAAAUGUAACCUUAGCGAGCUUCGACCCGAGGAUCAAAGUUGAAGAAACGCUGUUUGAUAAAUAUGACAGCUUCCCAAAAUGUUCUGUUUUCAAAAUGGAUCUCGUUUUACCUGACUGUGAAAAUGAUGCAGUUCCUAAAACCUGUCUCUCUCCUGAAAUAAGGACUGUUUCAUCAGAUGUGAGCAGUAAACACGAAGAGAACUCAAGUAGCACUUGUUUGGCUGAAAACGCAAGAAACUUCUCUGAAUUUACCAAUGUUUCUUUUGAAAGAAGAAGAAAUUCUGAUUCUGGUUUCUUUGGCACAUCAGUGAUAGAUGCUGAAGAAUUUAGCCCAAGAAGGUCAAUCAAAAGUCAGUUCUCAAGUGAGCCAAAUAUUUGCAAGCCAUUGAAAAGUCGCCCACCUCUUGAUGACUUUGGCAUAUCUUUGAGAAACACAUCGCAAGAUAAAUGCUUUUUGGCUCGAAUUGGUAUCGUCCGAUCUUUCAAUAUUCCCAUGAUAAAACUAAAGGGCACCAAAAAUUUGACACAACCUACCACAUACGUAACUUUCCAUGAUUGCUUUAAACGGUUACACACCUCUUGCACAGUCGUUGAAACACUUAUACCUGAGUAUAACUCUCGACACAAAGCCUGGCUGUCAGCUGAACUGCUGAAGGAUCCCGAAGAACGGUUAGUUCUACAAGUUUGGUGCAAAAGAUACCAGAAUGAGUUUGCUGGACCUGAUUGUGUUAGAGAUCGCUGUCUAGGUUUUGUUUUUUGCAACUUAACCGUUUUGAUGCUCAAUUUUCGUUAUGCUGGUGGAUGGCAUCAGAUCAUAUCACCAUCUGGGAAGAAUAAUGGACAGAUACAGAUUCUGGUGAAACCACUUCAAAGUAUCGAUUUUGUGAAAGAUCUAGAGUGCGAGGUUCUUGUCCAUAGUGAGAGUAAUUUGAUCAACGACCUCCAGCCGUACAACUUCUACUUGAAUGCUGCUGUUACCAAACAGAAAAAUGAUAUUUCGUCCAAAGAGUUAUUGAGUCAAGAGAUAUUGGAACUCGAAAACCAGAUCAAGGAGUUGCAACUGUCUCAUAAACAACGGUCGAUGAAGGCAGAGUCAUCAAAGGUAAUAGCUGGAAUGAAUGCCGAAAAGAAUUCUCCCAUCAGUAGUGGUAAAGGCACAGCAAAGAAGAUUGCUAGAUUUCUAUCGUUCAGACGGAAAUCAAGAAAACAUAAAAGUCUACCAAUUUCUGAAGAUGGUAGCGGUUCUGUGUCAUCAGGAAGUGUAAUAGAGUCAGAAAAUAUCAGAAUCGCCAAAAAUAAUUCUGAUAAGUAUGACAGUGCUCCAGUGUCCAGUAAUGAGAGUGAGUCACCCUGCUCCGAAUCUGCCAAUGAUGGUAAGAAAGAGGUUAAAAAAUCCCCUUCUAUUUUUGUUCGCAGCUUUUCAUUCAAAUUGAGAAAAUCUGGAAGAAAAAGUAAAGUUCAUCAAAAUGCUUUGCUUCAAAAUUUACCUCUGUAUCAAAAAAAUUAUCCACAAAAUCAUGAUGAAUUUGAUAAAUGUAUGAAUAUAAAUUCCAUUUAA
RNAcentral lists this long non-coding RNA (2809 nucleotides) under Bemisia tabaci. Its description in RNAcentral is "lncRNA ENSSSA2NGG001176". The record is from RNAcentral. Lineage: Eukaryota; Metazoa; Arthropoda; Insecta; Hemiptera; Aleyrodidae.